AUCUCGUUCCGUCGCAACCAACGGCUCAUACGGUGCUUGUAGACGAAGAUGGUGGCAACAAGACAGUAGCAGAAGAAGAUCGCACGUCAAAACUGGUAUGAUCCAGGAGUCCAUGGGCCUCCCCCUCUCUGUCGUCCAGUUGGUGAGCCGUUUUAAAUGAGGAGAUAUAGCCACAGAUGCGCAUCGUCGACAUAUCCAUCCCUAUUUACUGCUCCUCGCUCCAACUCUCUCGUCGCCGUCGUCCCCGCUCGCUCGCUCGCUGAGUUGGAAACGGGUGCACCAGCUGGUCUCGAGCCACCCCAGAGGUCUAUAUAAACACGCGCCCGCGGCACACCAACCCACACGUCGCCAGAGAGAAACUAACCGAGAAGAGAGAAGCACAUACACGCACGCACUAGUGAUCCUGUGAGGCGCGCUAAUGGCGGUGCAGGAGGAGGAGAAGGCCGCGGGCAGGCGCGCGGGGCCGCACCCGCUGCUGCGCGGGCGGAGGCGGGACGGCAAGUACACGCACGGGCUGCACCCGGCGCAGAUGGAGGCGCUCCGCGCCAUGUGCGGCGCCUUCAUCCCCUCGCUGCCGGCCGAGGAGGCGGACGCAGGCGGCCGCGCCGACCCGCCCGGCGGCAAGGACCUCGAGCGCUUCUACCUCGCCUCCGCCGCCGACUCCAACAUCCCCGACGAGCUCGUUCGUUUGUUUGUCCCCUUCUCCCAACAAAAAAAGGUCGCGGAGCUGAUGGUGACGCGGUGCAUACGGGAGGCGGCGCUGCUGGCGUGGGUGGUGCUGUGGGUGCUGAGCACGAGGGUGGGCACGCUGCUGCUGUGCGGCCGGCUGAGCUUCUGCGGCGCCGCCGGCGAGCUGCGCCGGUUCGCGGACAUGCCGGCGGAGCGGCAGGAGGCGGCGCUGCAGCGAUGGAACAGGACGCGCUGGCUCUUCCCGCUCAGGAUCGUCUUCGCCCUCGUCAAGAUCCUCUCCCACUACGUCUUCUACACCAUGGUCGACGAGAACUCAGAGAAUCCACACUGGAAAGCGAUUGGAUACAGCGUGGAAGAGUGGCAGAGAGACCGAGCUGAAGCGCCCGCCCCGUCGCGGCCGCUGGACAAUGGCGUCGUGGAAACCAGAGCGCUGAACGAUACCACCCUGCUCAGGUCGCUUGCGGACAGGGGGCUCUCCGUGAGGCCGGGCGCGCAACACACGGUGCAGUGCGACGCCGUCAUUGUCGGGUCCGGCUGCGGCGGGGGCGUUGCCGCCGCGAUGCUCGCGUCCGCGGGGUACAAGGUGGUCGUCGUUGAGAAGGGCAACUACUUCGCCGCCGAUGACUACAGCUCCGUCGAGGGUCCGUCCAUGGAGCGCCUCUUCGAGAAGGGCGGCAUCUUCUGCACGUCCAACGUGACGACCAUGGUGUUCACGGGCUCCACUGUCGGCGGCGGCUCGGCGGUGAACUGGUCGGCCUGCAUCCGCACUCCGGGGGAGGUCUUGCAGGAGUGGUCCCGCGACCACGGGGUCCCGUUGUUCGCGGGCCAGGACUACCAGCAGGCCAUGAACGCGGUGUGUGACCGGCUCGGCGUCACCGACGAGUGCCUGAAGGAAGGGUUCCAGAACAAGGUGCUGCGCCGAGGGUGCCAGGCACUCGGGCUGCCUGUCGACGCCGUGCCGCGCAACUCGUCCAAGGGACACUACUGCGGGAGCUGCAACUUCGGCUGCCCCACCGGUGAUAAGCGCGGCACCGACACGACGUGGCUCGUCGACGCCGUCAAGCACGGCGCGGUGAUCCUGACCGGGUGCAAGGCCGAGCGCUUCAUCCUCCAGAGCAACAGCGGCAAGGACGGUCGGAGCAAGAAAUGCGUCGGCCUGUUGGCGACGUGCAUGAGCAACGGCAUCACCAAGAAGCUGCGCAUCGAGGCCAAGGUGUCCAUCUCGGCCUGCGGGGCGCUCAUGACGCCUCCGCUGCUGCGCAACAGCGGGCUGAAGAACCGGCACAUCGGCCGGAACCUACACCUCCACCCGGUGUCCAUGGCGUGGGGCUACUUCCCGGAGAACAAGCAGGCGGUGCCGAUCACCGGCAAGUCCUACGAGGGCGGUAUCAUCACGACCAUGCACCGCGUCACCGCGCGCACCAUCAUCGAGACGCCGGCCCUAGGGCCGGGGGCCUUCGCCGCGAUGGUGCCGUGGGAGUCGGGCCGCGAUAUGAAGGAGCGCAUGAGCCGGUUCGCGCGCACGGCGCACGCGUUCGCCCUCGUCCGCGACCGCGGCACGGGGUUCGUGGACUGCGAGGGCCGCCUGCGCUUCACCCCCAGCCGCGACGACACCCGCGAGCUCCGCAACGGCCUGCGCCACGUGCUGCGCAUCCUGGUGGCCGCCGGCGCGGCGGAGGUGGGCACGCACCGCAGCGACGGGCUCCGGCUGCGGUGCAAGGGCGUGCGCGACGAGGACCUGGAGGCGUUCCUGGACGAGGUGACCAUCGAGAAGGGGCCCAUGCACUCGACGGCGGACAAAUGGGGGGUCUUCUCCUCGGCCCAUCAGAUGGGCAGCUGCCGCAUGGGCUCCAACCCCAAGGACAGCGCCGUCGACGGCAGCGGCGAGAGCUGGGAGGCCGAGGGCCUGUACGUCUGCGACGGCAGCCUCCUCCCCACCGCGGUCGGCGUCAAUCCAAUGAUCACCAUUCAGUCCGUCGCCUACUGCCUCUCCAAGGGCAUCGCCGAGUCCAUGACCAACGCUCAGAAGCACUACUAGAGUACUACAGUACGUACUAGUCGAUCGAGUCAGGGAUCGCCAACUCGUGGCGUCAGUUGGCCAGGUGCACUUGUCUGGCAUACCGCAUAAACUGUUGCACUGUAUAUAUAUGAUUCGUUAUUAAGAAAAUGUUAAAUACUCGCUUAUGUUUGUUACUCCUCCGUUUCAAAAUAGAUGACCCAAAUUUAUACUAACUUUGUACUAAAAUUUGUACAAAGUUGAGUCAUCUAUUUUAAAACUGAGGUAGUACUUAUUGUUCCAUAAAUAUAACUCGGUUAUAAGAUUCUUUUUGAAAAGACCAGUUGUCCAUUUUUU
RNAcentral lists this ribosomal RNA (3043 nucleotides) under Triticum aestivum (bread wheat). RNAcentral describes it as "partial small subunit ribosomal RNA". Lineage: Eukaryota; Viridiplantae; Streptophyta; Magnoliopsida; Poales; Poaceae. The record is from RNAcentral.